This 492-nucleotide ribosomal RNA is filed under the name uncultured bacterium. RNAcentral's name for it is "partial 16S ribosomal RNA". It matches the Rfam family "Bacterial small subunit ribosomal RNA", at positions 29 to 507 of the family's 1533-position model. The record is from RNAcentral.
AGUGAACGCUGGCGGUAGGCCUAACACAUGCAAGUCGAACGGCAGCACAGUAAGAGCUUGCUCGUACGGGUGGCGAGUGGCGGACGGGUGAGGAAUACAUCGGAAUCUACUUUUUCGUGGGGGAUAACGUAGGGAAACUUACGCUAAUACCGCAUACGACCCACGGGUGAAAGCAGGGGAUCUUCGGACCUUGCGCGAUUGAAUGAGCCGAUGUCGGAUUAGCUAGUUGGCGGGGUAAAGGCCCACCAAGGCGACGAUCCGUAGCUGGUCUGAGAGGAUGAUCAGCCACACUGGAACUGAGACACGGUCCAGACUCCUACGGGAGGCAGCAGUGGGGAAUAUUGGACAAUGGGCGCAAGCCUGAUCCAGCCAUACUGCGUGGGUGAAGAAGGCCUUCGGGUUGUAAAGCCCUUUUGUUGGGAAAGAAAAGCAGCAGGUUAAUACCCCGCUGUUCUGACGGUACCCAAAGAAUAAGCACCGGCUAACUUCGUG